CCCGGGUCUUGUACACACCGCCCGUCACACCACGAAAGUCAGCAACACCCGAAGCCGGUGGCCUAACCCGCAAGGGAGGGAGCCGUCGAAGGUGGGGCUGGCGAUUGGGGUG
Molecule: ribosomal RNA, 112 nt
Filed under: uncultured bacterium
Lineage: Bacteria
Description: partial 16S ribosomal RNA
Rfam family: Bacterial small subunit ribosomal RNA
Source: RNAcentral